AUUUAAACCUGCCUCCCCCCCUUUGGGGAUCUCACUUUGUACAGGAGCUUCUUCAAUCUUUCCUUCCAUCUUGUUUGGCGUCGAUGUAGUUUGUAAUCCCUCACUGGUUCUUGCAUUGAGUCGUCGUUCACCGAACUUCUUCUGUCUUCCAUCUCGUUUGUUGUCGAUGUAGUUUGAAGGUUCCUGGUUGCCACCGUGUCGAUUUGCCCUUAGGAACUAGAGAUUUUCGACAAGAGUUUUCUCUCUCAUCGAGACGAGAUCCCUUGUGCCUUUGAUGUGGUUCGUUUUUCACCUAUUGUCGGUGUAAUUCGUCAUUUUUCUUUUCGUCUCCCCUCUUUUUGUGUUUGAGUGAGGGUCUUCCCUCUGCUCUUAACCGGGCCAUGAGAGUGUGGAGGAGUCAUUGAAGAAGCUUUCCUCCUUGUUGAUCAACAGAGUCUUUGUUUGCGUCGGGAUGAGGUCCUCCCCUUGUUCCCGACAGUCGAUUUCGGCUCGUGUCAGAACGAGGUUCUCCUCCUGUUCCUGACAAGGCUAUGGGGGCACAUAAGGGCCAUUGUGAGGGCCUCUCCCCCCAUUCGAUCUUUAAAAAAUUGGGCC
Molecule: long non-coding RNA, 594 nt
Filed under: Elaeis guineensis (African oil palm)
Lineage: Eukaryota; Viridiplantae; Streptophyta; Magnoliopsida; Arecales; Arecaceae
Description: long non-coding RNA (EGUI_LNC069297)
Source: RNAcentral